Long non-coding RNA from Daphnia pulex (common water flea), 1038 nucleotides. RefSeq lists it as uncharacterized. The transcript has 2 exons. The record is from RefSeq and is a predicted model, not a curated record. Lineage: Eukaryota; Metazoa; Arthropoda; Branchiopoda; Diplostraca; Daphniidae.
GAUUUUAUUUACCAUGGGGCCUGUUAGAUCGUUGGGCCAUACGAAGUGGACAACUUUUGGCGGAAAUUUGAAGAGCUCACGGAAUUAACAACCCUCACCGUCUUUUUGGAUCAGAUUCAGACUAUAAGCUCAUAGACAACUUUCACUUCGAUGGGUUCAGUAGAGAGUAAACCCGAAGCGGCUGUUUCGCCAUGGUCAAUAAUGUCGCUAUGCCUCAGCCAAACUGCCGAAGUUGUUCCGGUCGUCGUCCCCAAACCGGUGGCUGCUCCGCGUUAAUUCCGUCGUUCCGGUUGUUGUUGCUGCUGCCCAACAACAAUCCCAGCCCAUGAAAUCGUCGCCGGUAACGGCGAGGAAACCCAAAGACAAUCCGGCCGUCAGCACUGCGCCUCUUCCGGCUAAAAGGUUGUCCCAUUUAGCCUUACCUUCGGCCCUUCCUAGGAAAUCCAUUCGCCCGGAAGAAAAGGUGGAAGAAGUGAUGAAACCGAAAGAAGAGGAAACGCCCAUAGCCAUCGAACCCCCGGUAGUCCAGCCACCAAUCCAGCCACCAAUCUAGCCGCCAAUACAGCCGCCAAUACAGCCACUAAUGCAGCCGGAAGAAACAGCUAAAGUUGUCGCCAGUGCCGUUCCAUCAGUCCAACAGCCAAAUGCUGCUGUUUCAACACCGGAAGUCACCGUCUGGACGAAGCGGAGGAGCGUGAAAGUCACCAGUUCCGGCCAUCAGACGACGUUGACCUUUCAGAAAAAGUCAUCCGCCAAUUCCGAUGGGAAUAAGAACCCGAGGCGGAUCGGAGUUGCAUCGUCGACGACACUUUCAGGUACAGUGUCUCAUCCUCCUCCUCCUUUCAUUAAUUAACCGCCAAAAUUUGAAAUCGUUUAAACUUAAAAAUUAAAAAAAAUCAAUUCAACGACGGACGUGUUUAGACGUGAAUCUCAAUUUGUUGUGUCGAUUGGAAUAAUCUAUAAUGGUCUUGUUGGAUUGUGUUGUUGGAUUGUUGGUUUUUUGUCUAUUACAUAAUUUAUAUUUGAUGUGAAAUGUUA